RNAcentral lists this ribosomal RNA (253 nucleotides) under uncultured bacterium. RNAcentral's name for it is "partial 16S ribosomal RNA". It matches the Rfam family "Bacterial small subunit ribosomal RNA", at positions 524 to 776 of the family's 1533-position model. The record is from RNAcentral.
UACGUAGGGGGCAAGCGUUGUCCGGAAUCAUUGGGCGUAAAGAGCGUGUAGGCGGCCAGAAAAGUCCGCUGUGAAAACUCGAGGCUCAACUUCGAGCUGUCGGUGGAAACUUUCUGGCUAGAGUCCGGAAGAGGAGAGUGGAAUUCCCGGUGUAGCGGUGAAAUGCGCAGAUAUCAGGAGGAACACCAGCGGCGAAGGCGCCGCUCUGGGCCGUAACUGACGCUGAGGAGCGAAAGCAUGGGUAGCAAACAGG